GCGGGUGUGGCGGAACUGGUAGACGCACUGGAUUUAGGUUCCAGCGCCGCAAGGCGUGGAGGUUCGAGUCCUCUCGCCCGCACCA
This 85-nucleotide transfer RNA is filed under the name Phenylobacterium haematophilum. RNAcentral describes it as "tRNA-Leu". It matches the Rfam family "tRNA". Rfam says of the family: Transfer RNA (tRNA) molecules are approximately 80 nucleotides in length. Their secondary structure includes four short double-helical elements and three loops (D, anti-codon, and T loops). The record is from RNAcentral. Lineage: Bacteria; Pseudomonadati; Pseudomonadota; Alphaproteobacteria; Caulobacterales; Caulobacteraceae. RNAcentral also lists the same sequence under 11 other names.